UACAGAGGUCUCAAGCGUUGUUCGGAUUCAUUGGGCGUAAAGGGUGCGUAGGUGGCGCCAUAAGUCAGGUGUGAAAUCUCGGGGCUCAACCCCGAAACUGCACUUGAUACUGUGGUGCUUGAGUACUGGAGAGGAGAUUGGAAUUUACGGUGUAGCAGUGAAAUGCGUAGAUAUCGUAAGGAAGACCAGUGGCGAAGGCGAAUCUCUGGACAGUUACUGACACUGAGGCACGAAGGCCAGGGGAGCAAACGGG
Molecule: ribosomal RNA, 253 nt
Filed under: uncultured bacterium
Lineage: Bacteria
Description: partial 16S ribosomal RNA
Rfam family: Bacterial small subunit ribosomal RNA
Source: RNAcentral